Octodon degus (degu) is the source of this 1078-nucleotide RNA transcript. It is a transcript of the gene named ataxin-3-like, with no coding region annotated. The record is from RefSeq and is a predicted model, not a curated record. The transcript has a single exon. NCBI's taxonomy places the organism in Eukaryota, Metazoa, Chordata, Mammalia, Rodentia, Octodontidae.
AGACAAAUAAACAUGGAGUCCAUCUUCCACGAGAAACAAGAAGGAUCACUUUGUGCUCAGCACUGCCUGAAUAAUCUGUUGCAAGGAGAAUACUUCAGCCCUGUGGAAUUAUCCUCAAUUGCCCACCAGCUGGAUGAAGAAGAAAGGAUGAGGAUGGCGGAAGGAGGGGUAACCAGUGAAGACGAUUGCUUGUUUUUACAGCAGCCUGCUAGAAAUAUGGAUGAUAGUGGCUUUUUCUCUAUUCAAGUCAUAAGCAAUGCCUUGAAACUUUGGGGUUUGGAACGGAUCCUGUUCAACAGUCCAGAGAAUCAGAGGCUCAGGAUUGAUCCCAUAAAUGAAAAAUCAUUUAUAUGCAAUUAUAAAGAACACUGUUUUACAGUUAGAAAAUUAGGAAAACAGUGGUUUAACUUGAACUGUCUCUUGAUGGCUCCAGAAUUAAUAUUAGAUACACACUUGGCACUUGUCUUGGCUCAAUGACAACAGGAAAGUUAUUCUAUAUUUGGCAUUAAAGGUGAUCUGCCAGAUUGUGAAGCUGACCGACUUCUCCAGACCAUCAGGGUCCAACAGAUGCAUCGAUCAAAGCUCAUUGGAGAAGAAUUAGCACAACUGAAAGGGCAGAGAGUCCUUAAAACAGACCUGGAACAAGUCUCAGAAGUGAUGGGUCUGGAACGUUAGAUGAAUACGAGGAGGACUUGCAGAGGGCCCUGGCUCUCGCUCGCCAGGAGAUUGGCAUGGAAGAUGAAGAAGCGGACCUCCCCAGGGCCAUUCAGCUCAGGAUGCAAGUAGAUCCAGAAAUAUAUCUCAAGACGUUCCACAGACAUCAGGGCCACAGCUUACAUUUGAAGAGCUGCGGAAGAGAAGAGAAGCCUACUUUGAACAGCAGCAGCAGCGGCGGCGGCAGCGGCAGGCAGAUCCACCAGGACAGGCUUCACAGCCACGUGAAAGGCCGACCACAAGCUCGGGGGCACUUGGAAAUGAGCUACGUGAUUCCACGAGUGAAGAAGACAUGCUUCAGACAGCUGUGACUAUGUCUUUAGAAACUGUUUCAAAUAAUUUGAAAACAGAAGUGGAAAAAUAA